UCGAGGGGCAGCAUAAUCUACGCAAUAGAUUGAUGGCGACCGGCGCACGGGUGAGUAACACGUAUCCAACCUACCGGUAACUCGGGGAUAGCCUUUCGAAAGAAAGAUUAAUAUCCGAUAGUAUAGUAAGAUCUCCUGUUCUUGCUAUUAAAGAAUUUCGGUUAUCGAUGGGGAUGCGUUCCAUUAGGCAGUUGGGGGGGUAACGGCCCACCAAACCUACGAUAGAUAGGGGUUCUGAGAGGAAGGUCCCCCACAUUGGAACUGAGACACGGUCCAAACUCCUACGGGAGGCAGCAGUGAGGAAUAUUGGUCAAUGGACGGAAGUCUGAACCAGCCAAGUAGCGUGAAGGAUGACUGCCCUAUGGGUUGUAAACUUCUUUUAUAUGGGAAUAAAGUUCGGCACGUGUGCCGUUUUGUAUGUACCAUGUGAAUAAGGAUCGGCUAACUCCGUGCCAGCAGCCGCGGUAAUACGGAGGAUCCAAGCGUUAUCCGGAUUUAUUGGGUUUAAAGGGAGCGUAGGCGGACGUUUAAGUCAGUUGUGAAAGUUUGCGGCUCAACCGUAAAAUUGCAGUUGAUACUGGGCGCCUUGAGUGCAGUAGAGGUAAGCGGAAUUCGUGGUGUAGCGGUGAAAUGCUUAGAUAUCACGAAGAACUCCAAUUGCGAAGGCAGCUUGCUGGACUGUAACUGACGCUGAUGCUCGAAAGUGUGGGUAUCAAACAGGAUUAGAUACCCUGGUAGUCCACACAGUAAACGAUGAAUACUCGCUGUUUGUGAUACACAGUAAGCGGCCAAGCGAAAGCGUUAAGUAUUCCACCUGGGGAGUACGCCGGCAACGGUGAAACUCAAAGGAAUUGACGGGGGCCCGCACAAGCGGAGGAACAUGUGGUUUAAUUCGAUGAUACGCGAGGAACCUUACCCGGGCUUGAAUUGCUUCUGAAUGUAGUGGAAACAUUACAGCCGCAAGGCAGAAGUGAAGGUGCUGCAUGGUUGUCGUCAGCUCGUGCCGUGAGGUGUCGGCUUAAGUGCCAUAACGAGCGCAACCCUUAUCGAUAGUUACUAACAGGUCAUGCUGAGGACUCUAUUGAGACUGCCGUCGUAAGAUGUGAGGAAGGUGGGGAUGACGUCAAAUCAGCACGGCCCUUACGUCCGGGGCUACACACGUGUUACAAUGGGGGGUACAGAAGGUCGCUACACAGCAAUGUGAUGCUAAUCCCGAAAGCCUCUCUCAGUUCGGAUUGGAGUCUGCAACUCGACUCCAUGAAGCUGGAUUCGCUAGUAAUCGCGCAUCAGCCACGGCGCGGUGAAUACGUUCCCGGGCCUUGUACACACCGCCCGUCAAGCCAUGAAAGCUGGGGGUACCUGAAGUACGUAACCGCAAGGAG
Molecule: ribosomal RNA, 1382 nt
Filed under: uncultured Bacteroidota bacterium
Lineage: Bacteria; Pseudomonadati; Bacteroidota
Description: bacterial SSU rRNA
Rfam family: Bacterial small subunit ribosomal RNA
Source: RNAcentral